GUCCUGGCAGUAAACGCUGCGAGCCAGGUGUUGCACAUUCCACGAGAUUGUGCAGUGUCGUAGAGAAGUCGUUAAGCUCGCCGCCUGGGUAAUACGGUCGCAAGACUGAAACUUACAGGAAUUGGCGGGGGAGCACAACAAGGGGUGCGGCGUGCGGUUUAAUCUAACUCAACGCAGAGAACCUCACCAGAGGCGACGGCAGAAUGAAAGUCAGAUUGAAGGUCUUACUUAACAAGCCGAGAGGUGGUGCAUGGCCGCCGUCAGCUCGUGCUGUGAAGUGUCCUGUUAAGUCAGGCAACGAGCGAGACCUGUAUCUACAAUUGCCAGCAACAUCUUUAGAUGGAUUGGGCACUUUGUAGGGACUGCCUUGGAAACAAGGAGGAAGGUGCAGGCAACGGUAGGUCUGUAUGCCCCGAAUCCUCUGGGCUACACGCGCGCAACAAUGGUAUGGACAAUGGGAUGCAACUCCGAAAGGAGAAGCUAAGCCUCUAAACCAUAUCUCAGUCCAGAUUGUGGCUUGUAACUCAGCCACAUGACGUUGGAAUCCCUAGUAACCAGACUUUAUCAUAG
Molecule: ribosomal RNA, 570 nt
Filed under: uncultured euryarchaeote
Lineage: Archaea; Methanobacteriati; Methanobacteriota
Description: bacterial SSU rRNA
Rfam family: Archaeal small subunit ribosomal RNA
Source: RNAcentral